AAUCCAGUUGAUCCUGCUGGGGGCUGCUGCUAUCUGGUUUGCAAUUAGACAUGCAAGUCUUUUUUGUUUCGCAAGAAAUGAAGGGCGAACUGCUCAGUAACACGUAGCUAACCUGCCCUAACAUUGGGGAUAACGUCGGGAAACUGACCCUAAUAUCCAAUAGGAGACGGUGACUGGAAUGUCCUGUCUCUCAAGUUAGGAUGGGGCUGCGGCUGAUUAGCUUGUUGGCGGGGUAAUAGCCCACCAAGGCGUCGAUCAGUAAGGGCUCUUAGCGGAGAAGCCCUGAGAGGGAAUCUGAGACACUAUUCCCAGCCCUACGGGGUGCAGCAGUCGGGAAACUUCUGCAAUACACGAAAGUGUGACAGAGCAAGCCAGAGUGCGUUUCUAUAAUUGAAACGCUUUUAUGCGAUGUAAAAAGUCGCAUGAAUAAGGACUGGGCAAGACUGGUGCCAGCCGCCGCGGUAAUCCCAGCGGUCCAAGUAGCAGCCGCGUUUAUUGGGUCUAAAACAUCCGUAGCUUGCUUCGUAAGUCUCAUGUGAAAUCCGGCCUCUUAAGGGUCGGGCGUGCAUGAGAUACUGCGUUGCUAGAGACCGGGAGACGUGAAGAGUACAGUUUGGGUAGCGGUAAAAUGCGUUGAUCCUUACUAGACUAACGAUAGCGAAGGCACUUCACGAGAACGGGUCUGACAGUGAGGGAUGAAGGCUAGGGGCGCAAAGUGGAUUAGAUACCCAUGUAGUCCUAGCAGUAAACACUGCACACUAAACAUCGGUACCUCCUCGAGAGGUAUCGGUGCUGUAGAGAAGUCGGAGAGUGUGCUACCUGGGAAGUAUAGUCGCAAGACCGAAACUUAAAGGAAUAGGCGGCGGGAUACUACAACCAGUGACGCGUGCGGUUCAAUUAGUUCAAUUAGAUUCUACACCGUGAACCUCACCAGGAUCGACAGCAGAAUGAAGGUCAGUCUGAAGGGCUUACCUGACACGCUGAGAGGAGAUGCAUGGCCAACGUCAGCCUGUGUCGUGAGAUGAUCUGUUAAAUCAGUUAACAGGCGAGACCCGCGUGCAUAUUUGCACGAACAAUAUGCAGACCGCCCUCGUAAGGGGGAGGAAGGUGCGGGCUACGUUAGGUGAGUACAUCCCAAAUACCCUGGGCUACACGCGCGCGGCAAUGCUGCAUUCAAAGGGCCGCAACACCGAAAGGUGAAGCUAAUCUCAUAAACUGCAGCUUAGUUCAGAUUGUGGCUUGCAACUCAGCCACAUGACGCUGGAAUUGGUAGUAAUUGGUUUUUAUCAGAGACCAGUGAAUAAGUCAAUGUCCCGUGCUCUCACCGAAAUAAAUGUGCUUGGCAGCUUUAUUAUCUAGGCAGUUAAAAUCUGUCCCUCUUCUU
This 1384-nucleotide ribosomal RNA is filed under the name Candidatus Pacearchaeota archaeon. RNAcentral's name for it is "bacterial SSU rRNA". It matches the Rfam family "Archaeal small subunit ribosomal RNA". Lineage: Archaea; Nanobdellati. The record is from RNAcentral.